GCUUGGGUGGCUCAGUUAAGUGUCUGACUUCAGCUCAGGUCAUGAUCUCUCGGUUUGUGGGUUCAAGCCCCGUCUCAGGCU
RNAcentral lists this transfer RNA (81 nucleotides) under Felis catus (domestic cat). It matches the Rfam family "tRNA". From Rfam's summary of the family: Transfer RNA (tRNA) molecules are approximately 80 nucleotides in length. Their secondary structure includes four short double-helical elements and three loops (D, anti-codon, and T loops). Lineage: Eukaryota; Metazoa; Chordata; Mammalia; Carnivora; Felidae. The record is from Rfam by way of RNAcentral.